Homo sapiens (human) is the source of this 3456-nucleotide long non-coding RNA. Ensembl annotates it as TMEM161B divergent transcript. Its record names the gene TMEM161B-DT. The record is from Ensembl. Lineage: Eukaryota; Metazoa; Chordata; Mammalia; Primates; Hominidae.
GCAGGCGCAGCACAGGUACGUGGGCGGGCGGAUCGUGGUGGCUGCGCUUGCGAGGACCCUGAGGUAGAUUGGGUGGUUUCAACAGGAACGCAUCCACUGUCUGAGAGUUUAAACUUGAUUUUGUGAGGGGACGAACAGCGUGACAAUUAAAAGAAGAUCUGGGAAUCAAAAGCUUCCUGAGGCCUUCACCAGAAGCAGAUGCUGGUGCCGUGCUUCUACAGCCUGCAGAACUGUGAGCCAAAUAAAGUUCUUUCCUUUAUAAAUUACCCAGCGUCAGGUAUUGUUUUAUAGCAAUGCAGAACAGACUAACACAGACACACACACCAACCAAGUACAGUAUGAGAAGGGAUUAUUGGGUGCCAUUUUGGAGGUUGUCUACCACAGGAUUUUAUCUGUAUCAUUAUUCAAAUUUCGUUUUUGAAAAAUUUUGUAAGGGCACAUUUAUAGAAAUAUGAAUGCUUAAUAUUUGAUGAUAUUAGGGAAUUAAACCAUUUUUGUGUGAUAGUAAUUUUUAAAGAUUCCUUAUCUUUUAGAAAUACAUAUUGAAAUAUUUAGAGAUGUAGUGAUAUAAUGUCUGGGGUAUGCUUCAAGAUAAGAGUUGCAGAAAGUGGGUGGUAGUAUAAAUCAAGAUUGGUUAUGAGUUGAGAAUUUUUGAGUAAUAGGUAUAUGGGGACUAAGUAUUCUAUUCUUCAUACUUUUACAUGCCGUAAAUCCCCACUUAUCUGCAGGGAAUGUGUUCCAAGACCCCCAGUGGAUGCCUGAAACUGAGAAUAGUACUGGACCCUGUAUAUACUGUGUUUUUUCUUUCCUUAUUGAGAACUUUUAUGUUUUCACUUAAAGGAAGGACUUUACAGCUUCUCUUUCGCAUAUCCAAAUUGCCAGCAUCACCGCUCUUGCACUCCAAGCCAUUAUUAAGUAAAGUAAAGAACACAAACACUGUGAUACUGCUACACUUGAUCUGAUAACCAAGAAGUCUACUAAGUGACUAACAGGUGGGUAGCAUAUACAGCAUAGAUACACUGGACAAAGGGAGGACUCACAUCCUGGGCAAGAUGGAGCAGAAUGGCAGAGUUCAUCAUGCUGCUCAAAAUGAUGUGCAAUUUAAAACUAAUGAAUUAUUUCUGGAAUUUUUCAGUUAAUAUUUUUGGACAUGAGGUGACUGCAGUUAACUAAAACCAUGGAAAGCAAACCCAUAGAUAAAGGGAUACUAUGGUAUGUUUUCAUUUUCUAUAAUAAAAAGUUAAAAAGGAAAAAGACACCAUAGGAAAAUAAAAGACAAGUCACAAACUGGGAAAAGAUCUUUGCAACACAUGUGACUAUCGAAAGGAUUAGUAUUCACACUGUGUAAAGAACCACUACAAUUCAAUGAAAAUGAAGAUAAUGCUUUCCACCCCAAACAGGCAAUUCAUACAGGAGAAAACCUGAAAAGAUACCCAACCACAAGGAAAUACCAUUUCACACCCACCAGAUGAACAAAAAUGUAAAAGUCUGGCAAUAUUACAAUUCUUAUACAUUGCUGGUUGGAGUAUGAAUUGAUAUAAUCAAUUUGGGAAACAAUAUGGUAUUAUCUAGUAGCUGAAGAUGCACAUCUUCUGUGACCCAGGAAAAAUGUAUAGCAGGAGACAUGAGCAAGAAAAUUCAUAAUGGCAUUUAUAACAGUAAAACGUGGAAGAAAAUCCACUGUCCAUCAACAGUAGAGUGAUUAAAUACAUUGUAUAUGCUCAUACAGCAGAAUAUAGUGGUGGAAAAAAUAAAUUACAAGUUCAUGGACAUAGAUAAAUCUCUAACAAAAUGUUGAGCAAAUAAAAAUUCACAAAAGAAUUUUACAGUAGGAUUCCAUUUAUAUAAAGAACCAAUGAAAGUAAAUAGCCUAAGGGUACAAACAUAAGUAAAUCUAUAAAUUAAAGCAAAAGAAUGAUAAGCACAAAUUCAAGGCAGUGAUUUCCUCUAGCUACAGAGGGAAGGGAAUGAAGUAAGGAAAAGGUGAACAAGGAGCUUAAAAGUAUGAUAAUUAUAUGUGUUGGUUUGGCCAAACAGUCCUGGUUUACCUAGCACAGUUCUGGUUUGCUGAUUGCCUGGUGUAAUGAUUAAUAGCACUGUCACUCCCCAAAUUGUCAUUGUUUGGAUAAUGAAUUAUAUGCAUCCUUUUUAGAGUAAAAGUAACUUUUUUCUCCUUAAACUGGAUGGAGGGCAUGUGGGUCUUUAUCAUUCUUCCUUAUACAUGUAUUUUUAAAAUAUAAUUUAAAACUAGUCAGUAUUUUAAAAUAUAAUUUAAAACUUUAGUCAGUGUUAGUCACUGUGUUAGUGACAACACAGUAAAAAAAAAAAAUUUGUAAGAUAAAUAAAUAUAAAUAGGAUCCAAAUGAAACUCUUUUCAUCUGGGUGGAUACAGGGAUAAAUAACAUACUAUAUGCCUGGCAUUGUAUUAAGCUUGUUACUGAUAUUACUUCAUAUUCAUAGCAAGACAUUUAGGUAGGCAUUAUUAUCUCCAUUUUACACAUGAAGAAUCUAAGACACAAAGACUAUACAUAAUUUAACCAAAGUCAUAUUAUAUGUGACAGCGCAGAAUUUGAACCCAAGCAGUGUGACAUCAGACUACAUGCUCUUAACUACCAUGCCAGAGCCCAUAACAGAUUUUCUUAACCUUUUUUAUGCCACAGAUCCCUUUGACAGUCUGGUGAAGCCUAUAGAGUCCUUUUUAGAGUAAUGUCUUUUGUACAUCAAAUAUAAUGCACAGGAUUAUAAAUAAAAUCAAUUAUACUAAAAUAUGGUAAUCAAAAUAUUUAACAAAUGUAUACUAUACCUGUACUUUUUAUUAAUGCAUUAAAUAAAUAAUAAAAUCUAGCAGGUCUAAUGAAUAAUUUUGAAAUAAUAAUAAUAAUUGUAUCUUGAGAUAUCUACAAAUAUAGUAAUGUGAUAGGAAAAUGUUUGUGAUUUUGAUAAGUGAAAAAGUCACCAAAAUACUUGUAAUAACACUGUGGUUUUUUGCAUAUGUUCACAAUGGAAAGAAAUCCUAAAUCUUACUUCGAAGUUAGCAAGAAUUACAAUAUUUUUCCCACCCCAAUUCAUGGCCCUCUACUUUAUGGUCUUAUUUCAUAGGCUUUCUGACAUGUUUUGCUUCAAAGAGGUCCUAUUCCCCAUCCCAUUUCCUAUCUUCUGGUUUGGGAUUACACUCAAGAUGUGAUAUACAGAUAGAUUAGUUUAUUAGAAAGAAAAUAUUUUUCCACAUGGCGAACUUUAGUGGAGGCUAACAAAUCAGAAUGUGCUAAAAUAGCCAUGUGUACAUAUAGACAAUGGGAAGCUUGGAACUGCUUUAGCAUUUUAUACAAAAGACUUAAAAGUAAUUUCAGCUGGGCACUGUGGCUCGGGCCUGUAAUCCCAGCACUUUGGGAGGCUAAAGUGAGAGGAUUGCUUGAGGCCAGGAGUUCAAGACCAGCCUGGGCAACAUAGUGAGAC